AUGAACGCUGGCGGCGUGCCUAAUACCUGCAAGUCGAGCGAACAGAUGAGGAGCUUGCUCCUCUGACGUUAGCGGCGGACGGGUGAGUAACACGUGGAUAACCUACCUGUAAGACUGGGAUAACUUCGGGAAACCGGAGCUAAUACCGGAUAAUAUAUUGAACCGCAUGGUUCAAUAGUGAAAGACGGUUUUGCUGUCACUUAUAGAUGGAUCCGCGCCGCAUUAGCUAGUUGGUAAGGUAACGGCUUACCAAGGCAACGAUGCGUAGCCGACCUGAGAGGGUGAUCGGCCACACUGGAACUGAGACACGGUCCAGACUCCUACGGGAGGCAGCAGUAGGGAAUCUUCCGCAAUGGGCGAAAGCCUGACGGAGCAACGCCGCGUGAGUGAUGAAGGUCUUCGGAUCGUAAAACUCUGUUAUUAGGGAAGAACAAAUGUGUAAGUAACUAUGCACGUCUUGACGGUACCUAAUCAGAAAGCCACGGCUAACUACGUG
This 496-nucleotide ribosomal RNA is filed under the name uncultured bacterium. RNAcentral's name for it is "partial 16S ribosomal RNA". It matches the Rfam family "Bacterial small subunit ribosomal RNA", at positions 29 to 507 of the family's 1533-position model. The record is from RNAcentral.